RNAcentral lists this ribosomal RNA (274 nucleotides) under uncultured soil bacterium. RNAcentral's name for it is "partial 16S ribosomal RNA". It matches the Rfam family "Bacterial small subunit ribosomal RNA", at positions 26 to 288 of the family's 1533-position model. The record is from RNAcentral.
AGAAUCAACGCUGGCGGCGUGCCUAACACAUGCAAGUCGAGCGCGAAAGGGAGCAAUCCCCAAGUAGAGCGGCGAACGGGUGAGUAACGCGUGGGUAAUCUACCUCCGAGUGGGGAAUAACAGCGGGAAACUGCUGCUAAUACCGCAUGACAUCGUCGAGCCUUCGGGUUUGACGAUCAAAGCCGGGACCGCAAGGCCUGGCGCUUGGAGAGGAGCCCGCGUCCGAUUAGCUAGUUGGCGGGUAAUGGCCCACCGAAGGCUCCGAUCGGUAGCC